UACAGAGGUCUCAAGCGUUGUUCGGAUUCAUUGGGCGUAAAGGGUGCGUAGGCGGUUUGUUGCGUCGGCUGUGAAAUCCCGAGGCUCAACCUCGGGUCUGCAGUCGAUACGAGCAAACUAGAGUGUUGCAGGGGAGACUGGAAUUCCUGGUGUAGCGGUGAAAUGCGCAGAUAUCGGAAGGAACACCAGUGGCGAAAGCGACUUCCUGGUCCAGCAUCGACGUUCAGGCACGAAAGCGUGGGGAGCAAACAGG
This 253-nucleotide ribosomal RNA is filed under the name uncultured bacterium. RNAcentral describes it as "partial 16S ribosomal RNA". It matches the Rfam family "Bacterial small subunit ribosomal RNA", at positions 524 to 776 of the family's 1533-position model. The record is from RNAcentral.